CCUACGGGGGGCAGCAGUGGGGAAUAUUGCACAAUGGGGGAAACCCUGAUGCAGCGACGCCGCGUGAGUGAAGAAGUAAUUCGUUACGUAAAGCUCUAUCAGCAGGGAAGAGAAUGACGGUACCUGAGUAAGAAGCCCCGGCUAACUACGUGCCAGCAGCCGCGGUAAUACGUAGGGGGCAAGCGUUAUCCGGAUUUACUGGGUGUAAAGGGAGCGUAGACGGCAGAGAAAGUCUGAAGUGAAAGCCCGCGGCUCAACCGCGGAACUGCUUUGGAAACUUUUCGGCUAGAGUACCGGAGAGGUAA
RNAcentral lists this ribosomal RNA (305 nucleotides) under uncultured bacterium. Its description in RNAcentral is "bacterial SSU rRNA". It matches the Rfam family "Bacterial small subunit ribosomal RNA", at positions 338 to 660 of the family's 1533-position model. The record is from RNAcentral.